GGCGGGGCGGCGCGGGCCCGGCUGCGGGCGCUGGGGGAGCGGCCUCUGCGCGAGUGUGGAGAGAAGGGAACAGUCUACCUUACCCAAGUCGCACAGUCGGUAAGUGGAGCCAGGGCUGGGUGCUGCUGUCUGCCUCCCAAGCCUGCCCCCUUUAAUUGCCACCUCGUGAAGCAUGCUGGGCAGAAGAGGAAAAGGCUCCAUGGAAGGACUGGAAGAAGCGGUUACCCCUGCCUGUGGGCUGGACAUCAGGGAAGGCUUCUCAGAGGAAGGACCUUUUGUGUUGGAUCUCAGGUAGAGGUUUGCCAGGGGAAGAAAGAUGAGCCUGGAAAGGUGUGCUGAGCAGAAGGAUCAGCAUGUGGACUCAGGAUGAUGACAGGAGUGUUCCUGCUACGUGUAUGAAUAAAAUGAAGUAUGCAAAUUAUUUGAAAAUCCCGGGAGGAAGAUACUUUUCAAAUACAGUUGGUUUUGUGGUGUUUUUUUUUAACCAAUAAAGUUAACUAUUUUUACAGCAAAAAAAAAAGCUUACCUAGGAUGUGGAACAUAUAUGCUAAUUCAAGCCUAUUGAGUACUAAAACAAAGAACGAUUUGGCCCUUCCUCUCUAUAAAGGAACUCAAAAAUCUUGUUGGGGGUUGGAUCUCAGAAUGAGAAACUCUGACCCCAGCUGUUCAUAAAUAAAUCCUUUUUCCUUCCUAAAAUUAUUCCUGAGUUUUGGCCUUUCUAACGCAAAAAAUCGAAUCUCUCUUGACUUCUACAACAGUGCGAUAGGCAAUUGCGCAUUGUCAUGGAGAAGAAUUGGACCCGUU
This 804-nucleotide long non-coding RNA is filed under the name Dasypus novemcinctus (nine-banded armadillo). RNAcentral's name for it is "lncRNA (ENSDNOG00000050033.1)". The record is from RNAcentral. Lineage: Eukaryota; Metazoa; Chordata; Mammalia; Cingulata; Dasypodidae.